This 119-nucleotide ribosomal RNA is filed under the name Erpetoichthys calabaricus (reedfish). The record is from RNAcentral. Lineage: Eukaryota; Metazoa; Chordata; Cladistia; Polypteriformes; Polypteridae.
GCUUACGGCCACACCUGUGUGAAUGUGCCUGAUCUCGUCUUGUCUCGGAAGCUAAACACGCUUGGGCUCGGCCAGUACUUUGAUGGUAGACCGCGUGGGAACCCCGAAUGCUGUAAGCU